UACGGAGGGUGCAAGCGUUGUCCGGAUUUAUUGGGUUUAAAGGGUGCGUAGGCGGCCAUUUAAGUCUGGGGUGAAAGCCCGUUGCUCAACAACGGAACUGCCCUGGAAACUGGAUGGCUUGAGUACAGACGAGGGUGGCGGAAUGGAUGCUGUAGCGGUGAAAUGCAUAGAUAGCAUCCAGAACCCCCGAUUGCGAAGCAGA
Molecule: ribosomal RNA, 202 nt
Filed under: uncultured bacterium
Lineage: Bacteria
Description: partial 16S ribosomal RNA
Rfam family: Bacterial small subunit ribosomal RNA
Source: RNAcentral